AAUAAAAAAAAUAGUUUUAUUUUUAUUAGUAAAAAUAUUUUUAAAAAAAUAAUUUUUUUUUUAGUAAUUUUUAAAAAUAAUAAUUUUUAAAAAUUUACAGUAAUGGAAAAUUUUAUUAUAUUAAAAGUAAUUUUUAAUUAAUGUACCUUUUGUAUCAGGGUUAAUUAAUUUAAAUAUAAAUAAUAUUAUAAUUCUCGAAUUUAGAAGAUCUAAAAAAAUAUAUUUGUUAAUGUAAUAUAAUUAUAAAAAAUAUUUUUUUAGGAAUGAAAUUUUAUUCAAUUUUAAUAUAUCUAGUUAUCUAAGAAAUAAAUUUAAUUUAGUAUAUAUAAAUAUUUUGAUAAUUAAAUUUUUUUUAUAUUAUAUAUAAAAAAUAUUAAGGGAUAAGCUUUAAUUUAUUUUAAAAUUUUUAAAAAAAUUAAAUUUUUGUAGAUUUAAAAAUGAUCAUCAUUUAUUUUGUUAUAAUAAAAAUUAUUAUUAAAAAAAUUUUUUUUAAUUUAAAUUUUUAUUAGAUUAAUUAUUUUAAUUAAGUUAAAUUAUAUAAUAAUGAUUAAAUUAAUAAUUUUGAAAAUUUAAAUUUAUGAAUUCGGCAAAUUUAAUUUUCACCUGUUUAACAAAAACAUGUUCUAAAGAAUUAAUUUUAGAUUUAAUCUGCCCUAUGAAAAUUUAAAUGGCUGCAGUAAUUUGACUGUACUAAGGUAGCAAAAUAAUUUGUUUUUUAAUUGAAAACCGGAAUAAAAGAUUUGAUGAAAAAUUAACUUUAUUAAUUUAAUUUUAAUUAAAUUAAUUUUUAGAUAAAAAAGUUUAAAUAUAAUUAUAGGACGAGAAGACCCUUUAAAACUUUAUAUUCAAUAAAAAAUAUUUUUUUUUAUUGAAUAUUAAAUUGGGGUGAUUAGUAAAUUUAAAUAACUUUACUUUAUUUUAUUUCAUAAAUUUAUGUUUUUUUGAUCCAAUAUUAUUGAUUAUAAGAAUAAGUUACUUAAGGGAUAACAGCGUAAUUUUUUUUGAGAGUUCGUAUUGAUAAAAAAGUUUGCGACCUCGAUGUUGAAUUAAGAAAAAUUAUAAAUGCAGAAGUUUAUAUGUUAAGUCUGUUCGACUUUUAGAUUCUUACAUGAUUUGAGUUCAGAUCGGCGUAAGCCAGAUUGGUUUCUAUCCUUAAUAAAAUUUUAUAUUUUUGUACGAAAGGACCAAAUAUUAAAAAUAAUUUUUAUGAUAAAUAUUAUAUUUUUA
RNAcentral lists this ribosomal RNA (1227 nucleotides) under Oncylocotis sp. PJ-2015. RNAcentral's name for it is "l-rRNA". Lineage: Eukaryota; Metazoa; Arthropoda; Insecta; Hemiptera; Enicocephalidae. The record is from RNAcentral.